RNAcentral lists this ribosomal RNA (253 nucleotides) under uncultured bacterium. Its description in RNAcentral is "partial 16S ribosomal RNA". It matches the Rfam family "Bacterial small subunit ribosomal RNA", at positions 524 to 776 of the family's 1533-position model. The record is from RNAcentral.
UACGUAGGGGGCAAGCGUUGUCCGGAAUUAUUGGGCGUAAAGAGCGCGUAGGCGGUCCGGUAAGUCGGUUGUGAAAGUCGGGGGCUCAACCCUCGGAUGCCGAUCGAUACUGUCGGGCUAGAGUCCGGAAGAGGCGAGUGGAAUUCCUGGUGUAGCGGCGAAAUGCGCAGAUAUCAGGAGGAACACCAAUGGCGAAGGCAGCUCGCUGGGACGGUACUGACGCUGAGGCGCGAAAGCGUGGGGAGCAAACGGG